Molecule: long non-coding RNA, 1558 nt
Filed under: Setaria viridis
Lineage: Eukaryota; Viridiplantae; Streptophyta; Magnoliopsida; Poales; Poaceae
Description: long non-coding RNA (SVIR_LNC002004)
Source: RNAcentral
GGGGAGUCUUGUAUUUAAUGGGGAGUUUUGCAUUUGAGGGGGAGUAUGCAUUUUUUUGCUCUUGUGCAUGCAUUUCAUUAUGGCCUAUUUUCAGGGGGAGUGCAUGUGUUCAGGGGGAGCUUGUGAGUUUUGUGCUCUCUUUUGCUCUUUUGCCGGUUGUGUUGAACUGUUAACUCUUCUUGAGGAACCGGCAUUUGGUUUGAGCUUUCAAUCGUCACAUGGUUGGUGUUGAGCCCUAUCUACCUCUUCUUGAGGGAUCAUGUGUUUUCGAUCUUCACAUGAUUGGUGUUGAGCCCUCUCUGCCUCUUCUUGAGGAAUCAUGUGUUCCUUGUCUCGGUUGUGUCUAGCCGUUAUCCAUGUUUUUAGGGACCGAGACUUUUCCAAGUUGAUUUUGGUCUUUGUGAUGCUUCUCAUGCCAAGUAACUUUGAUCUUUGCCUUUAUAUGAUUUUUGAUCACUUGGAUGAGAGUUUUAUCUAAUUGGUGUCACAUUUUGGCUUUUGUGGAUCUUAUCAUCUCAAGUGAUUUUGAUCUUGGUUUUUACUUGACUUUUGAUCACUUGGAUGAGAUUUUCGGUUUUUACAUCUCAAACCAUUUGUUUGUGUUUGAAUGUUGUCAACACACUCAUCAAGGGGGAGAUUGAGAAAUCAAGUCAAUAUGAACCUUGAUUUGAUAGUGAUGAGCGUUUGACAAAUAUUGAAAUGUGUUUGAAGGUUUAUGGGCUUUUCGGUUGUAUUAAGUCUUUGCCCUUUUCUUUGGGAACUGACAAAUGUUGAAAUGGCUUUGAUGGCAUUUUGGGAUACAGCAAGCUUUUGUGUCUCUUGAUUGACUCUUCGGUUGUGUUUAGCCUUUGCACUUUCUUUAAUAACCAAGAGUUUUUUAUUUGGAGCUUGCAUGAUCCUUUCUCAUAUCAAGUGGCCUUGUGGUUGCUUUUACUUAGCUUUAGGGUACUUGAAUGAGUUCUCUUUUGCUUUCAAAUCAUCUUUUGUCAAUGCACUUAUCAAGGGGGAGAUUGAGAGACCAAGUUGAGAUGUGCCUUGGUCUAUUUGUGACAAGUGAUUGACUAGAUGAUUUAAGACUUCACCGGUUGAGUCCAUAUUUCAUAUGUGCUUGAUUAUGCUAACGGCUAACCGGAUGUGUUGUGUUGUGUGCGUUGUGUUGUAGUGUUUGUGUAAACUAUAUGUUGUGUGUUGUGUCUCUUGGCUUGUGAUGUGCAGAUGUAGGAGAGAUGAAGGUCAAGCGAAAGGUUCAUGCCAAUGUACUAGGGCUGUGAAGGGUGGAUACGAGUAGGCUUGGACUGAGGGACCCGAGGAGUCCGGCGGAGUCAUGGGCGGUCCACAUGGUGCAUGGAAGAGCAAGAGUACACGGACGAGGUGGAGCCUACUCUCGGUACUAAUGUGCCUGUACCGGGUGGAGCCUCCACCCGGUACUAAUGUGUGACCUUUAAUACCGGGUGAAACUUCCAACUAGUACUAAAAGGAAUCACGGGGGCUCCUGAGGAACUAGCCGUUAGACUCGAUACUAAUGCUCAUAUUAGUACCGGGUUAAAAAAUAACCGAC